Ooceraea biroi (clonal raider ant) is the source of this 209-nucleotide long non-coding RNA. RefSeq lists it as uncharacterized. Lineage: Eukaryota; Metazoa; Arthropoda; Insecta; Hymenoptera; Formicidae. The record is from RefSeq and is a predicted model, not a curated record.
AUGUUCGAGUAAGCCAAGGACGUCUCUGCCACCGGCGAGAUGAAGAACAGAGGCACCUGCGUGAAGCCUGACUUGUCUAAGUGCGUGCUCAGGCAUUCAAAGAGAUCGUACACCACGCCGGACGGGUAGCAAGCGCACCGUAUCCAGGACAUGAAUCCAAUGAAUCGUAACGCCAAAAAAAUCCAAUAAGAAAUUGUUCUCUCGAGCAA